GUGCGGCCUGAAAAACAGUGCUGUGCCCUUGUAACUCAUCAUAAUAAUUUACGGCGCAGCCAAGAUUUCCCUGGUGUUGGCGCAGUAUUCGCGCACCCCGGUCUAGCCGGGGUCAUUUUUU
Molecule: non-coding RNA, 121 nt
Filed under: Escherichia coli
Lineage: Bacteria; Pseudomonadati; Pseudomonadota; Gammaproteobacteria; Enterobacterales; Enterobacteriaceae
Also listed under: 10 other names
Description: sRNA positive antisense regulator of rpoS; binds Hfq
Rfam family: ArcZ RNA (bases 1-108)
About the family: This RNA was discovered in E. coli during a large scale screen.
Source: RNAcentral